RNAcentral lists this long non-coding RNA (236 nucleotides) under Spirodela polyrhiza (greater duckweed). Its description in RNAcentral is "long non-coding RNA (SPOL_LNC002159)". Lineage: Eukaryota; Viridiplantae; Streptophyta; Magnoliopsida; Alismatales; Araceae. The record is from RNAcentral.
CGGGGGCGGCGGUAAAUCGUGAAACGUCCGCUGGUGUCCUUUAGGGCGUCCUUCCAAACUCUCCUCUGUGCCGCGAGCCAGGACCCCGACCUCUGGCUCCGCCUGUCCCCACACCCGGCGGCCCCCCCGCACUCACCUCUUUCCUUGCGGUGUCUCUUUCGCAACGCACAGUGGCACAGAGGAGGAACAGGCUGCCGGGCAGACCACUGCCGGCGGCAGCACCGCCUAGGUCGGAU